This 373-nucleotide ribosomal RNA is filed under the name uncultured bacterium. Its description in RNAcentral is "bacterial SSU rRNA". It matches the Rfam family "Bacterial small subunit ribosomal RNA", at positions 32 to 385 of the family's 1533-position model. The record is from RNAcentral.
GAUAAAACGCUGGCGGCGCACAUAAGACAUGCAAGUCGAACGGACUUAACCAUUAGUUUACUAUUGGAGCGGUUAGUGGCGGACUGGUGAGUAAACACGUAAAGCAAACCUGCCUAUCAGAGGGGGAACAACAGUUAGAAAUGACUGCUAAUACCGCAUAUGCCUUAAGCAUCACAUGGUGCUAGAGGGAAAGGAGCAAUCCGCUGAUAGAUGGGCUUGCGUCUGAUUAGCUAGUUGGUGGGGUAAUGGCCUACCAAGGCGACGAUCAGUAGCCGGACUGAGAGGUUGAACGGCCACAUUGGGACUGAGAUACGGCCCAGACUCCUACGGGAGGCAGCAGUCGGGAAUAUUGCGCAAAUGGAGGAAAACCUCG